GACGAACGCUGGCGGCGUGCCUAAUACAUGCAAGUAGAACGCUGAAGGAGGAGCUUGCUUCUCUGGAUGAGUUGCGAACGGGUGAGUAACGCGUAGGUAACCUGCCUGGUAGCGGGGGAUAACUAUUGGAAACGAUAGCUAAUACCGCAUAAUAGCAGUUGUUGCAUGACAACUGUUUGAAAGGUGCAAUUGCACCACUACCAGAUGGACCUGCGUUGUAUUAGCUAGUUGGUGGGGUAACGGCUCACCAAGGCGACGAUACAUAGCCGACCUGAGAGGGUGAUCGGCCACAUUGGGACUGAGACACGGCCCAGACUCCUACGGGAGGCAGCAGUAGGGAAUCUUCGGCAAUGGACGGAAGUCUGACCGAGCAACGCCGCGUGAGUGAAGAAGGUUGUCGGAUCGUAAAGCUCUGUUGUAAGAGAAGAACGAGUGUGAGAGUGGAAAGUUCACACUGUGACGGUAUCUUACCAGAAAGGGACGGCUAACUACGUG
This 495-nucleotide ribosomal RNA is filed under the name uncultured bacterium. RNAcentral's name for it is "partial 16S ribosomal RNA". It matches the Rfam family "Bacterial small subunit ribosomal RNA", at positions 28 to 507 of the family's 1533-position model. The record is from RNAcentral.